GAUGAACGCUGACAGAAUGCUUAACACAUGCAAGUCGACUCGAGUCUUCGGACUUGGGUGGCGCACGGGUGAGUAACGCGUAAAGAACUUGCCUCUUAGACCGGGACAACAUCUGGAAACGGAUGCUAAUACCGGAUAUUAUGGUUUUUUCGCAUGGAGGGAUCAUGAAAGCUAGAUGCGCUAAGAGAGAGCUUUGCGUCCCAUUAGCUGGUUGGUGAGGUAACGGCCCACCAAGGCAAUGAUGGGUAGCCGGCCUGAGAGGGUGAACGGCCACAAGGGGACUGAGACACGGCCCUUACUCCUACGGGAGGCAGCAGUGGGGAAUAUUGGACAAUGGACCGCAAGUCUGAUCCAGCAAUUCUGUGUGCACGAUGACGUUUUUCGGAAUGUAAAGUGCUUUCAGUCGGGAAGAAGUCAGUGACGGUACCGACAGAAGAAGCGACGGCUAAAUACGUGCCAGCAGCCGCGGUAAUACGUAUGUCGCAAGCGUUAUCCGGAUUUAUUGGGCGUAAAGCGCGUCUAGGCGGCAAGGAAAGUCUGAUGUGAAAAUGCGGAGCUCAACUCCGUAUGGCGUUGGAAACUGCCUUACUAGAGUACUGGAGAGGUAGGCGGAACUACAAGUGUAGAGGUGAAAUUCGUAGAUAUUUGUAGGAAUGCCGAUGGGGGAAGCCAGCCUACUGUACAGAUACUGACGCUAAUGCGCGAAGCGUGGGUAGCAAACAGG
RNAcentral lists this ribosomal RNA (724 nucleotides) under uncultured Fusobacterium sp. Its description in RNAcentral is "bacterial SSU rRNA". It matches the Rfam family "Bacterial small subunit ribosomal RNA", at positions 28 to 776 of the family's 1533-position model. The record is from RNAcentral. Lineage: Bacteria; Fusobacteriati; Fusobacteriota; Fusobacteriia; Fusobacteriales; Fusobacteriaceae.